RNAcentral lists this ribosomal RNA (252 nucleotides) under uncultured bacterium. Its description in RNAcentral is "partial 16S ribosomal RNA". It matches the Rfam family "Bacterial small subunit ribosomal RNA", at positions 524 to 776 of the family's 1533-position model. The record is from RNAcentral.
UACAGAGGUGGCAAGCGUUGUUCGGAAUUACUGGGCGUAAAGGGCGCGUAGGCGGCCUUCUAAGUCAGACGUGAAAUCCCCCGGCUUAACCUGGGAACUGCGUCUGAUACUGGAGGCUUGAGUAUGGGAGAGGGAUGUAGAAUUCCAGGUGUAGCGGUGAAAUGCGUAGAUAUCUGGAGGAAUACCGGUGGCGAAGGCGGCAUCCUGGACCAUUACUGACGCCGAGGCGCGAAAGCUAGGGGAGCAAACGGG